RNAcentral lists this ribosomal RNA (495 nucleotides) under uncultured bacterium. RNAcentral describes it as "partial 16S ribosomal RNA". It matches the Rfam family "Bacterial small subunit ribosomal RNA", at positions 28 to 507 of the family's 1533-position model. The record is from RNAcentral.
GACGAACGCUGGCGGCGUGCCUAAUACAUGCAAGUAGAACGCUGAAGGAGGAGCUUGCUUCUCUGGAUGAGUUGCGAACGGGUGAGUAACGCGUAGGUAACCUGCCUGGUAGCGGGGGAUAACUAUUGGAAACGAUAGCUAAUACCGCAUAAGAGUAGAUGUCGCAUGACAUUUGCUUAAAGGGUGCAAUUGCAUCACUACCAGAUGGACCUGCGUUGUAUUAGCUAGUUGGUGAGGUAACGGCUCACCAAGGCAACGAUACAUAGCCGACCUGAGAGGGUGAUCGGCCACACUGGGACUGAGACACGGCCCAGACUCCUACGGGAGGCAGCAGUAGGGAAUCUUCGGCAAUGGACGGAAGUCUGACCGAGCAACGCCGCGUGAGUGAAGAAGGUUUUCGGAUCGUAAAGCUCUGUUGUAAGAGAAGAACGAGUGUGAGAGUGGAAAGUUCACACUGUGACGGUAUCUUACCAGAAAGGGACGGCUAACUACGUG